RNAcentral lists this ribosomal RNA (336 nucleotides) under uncultured Latescibacterota bacterium. Its description in RNAcentral is "bacterial SSU rRNA". It matches the Rfam family "Bacterial small subunit ribosomal RNA", at positions 29 to 351 of the family's 1533-position model. The record is from RNAcentral. Lineage: Bacteria; Pseudomonadati; Candidatus Latescibacterota.
AACGAACGUUGGCGGCGUGGAUUAGGCAUGCAAGUCGAACGGACCUGGGGGCAACUCCAGGUUAGUGGCGAACGGGUGAGUAACGCGUGGGAAACCUGCCCUAGAGACGGGGAUAACACCUCCAACGGGGUGCUAAUACCGGAUAAGACCACGGAAUCGCAUGGUUCUGCGGUCAAAGGUGGCCUCUACAUGUAAGCUACCACUUUAGGAUGGUCCCGCGUCCCAUUAGCUUGUUGGUAGGGUAAUGGCCUACCAAGGCUCCGAUGGGUAGCUGGUCUGAGAGGAUGGUCAGCCACACUGGGACUGAGAUACGGCCCAGACUCCUACGGGAGGCAG